UACGUAGGGCGCAAGCGUUAUCCGGAAUUAUUGGGCGUAAAGAGCUCGUAGGCGGUUUGUCGCGUCUGCCGUGAAAGUCCGGGGCUCACCUCCGGAUCUGCGGUGGGUACGGGCAGACUAGAGUGAUGUAGGGGAGACUGGAAUUCCUGGUGUAGCGGUGAAAUGCGCAGAUAUCAGGAGGAACACCGCUGGCGAAGGCAGGUCUCUGGGCAUUAACUGACGCUUAGGAGCGAACGCAUGUGGCGCGAA
Molecule: ribosomal RNA, 249 nt
Filed under: uncultured Micrococcaceae bacterium
Lineage: Bacteria; Bacillati; Actinomycetota; Actinomycetes; Micrococcales; Micrococcaceae
Description: partial 16S ribosomal RNA
Rfam family: Bacterial small subunit ribosomal RNA
Source: RNAcentral